UUGAGAAGGACUUGGGGCAGGACCCUGAGAUUGUGACCUCAGCCAAAACCAUGACUCGGAUGCUUAACUGACUGUGCCACCCAGGCGCCCCAGACCUAAUCUUUUAAUCAUUUUUAUUUCUCUCUAGCAUUGAAUAGGAUGGCAGUUAAGCUUAACCAAUUUCAGUGUGGAGUCUACAGAUUUUCACGUAUUAUUAAAUUGAAUUAAUUCAUGGAAUUAUAGACCACAGGUCUGGAUGUUUAGUGGAACAUCUGCAAAGUGUUUAAUGGGUUAGGGUACUGUAGAAGAGGAUUAGAAUUGUAGAAGAUAAUCAACCUCUAAUCCAUUUUGAAAGCAUUCUUCAAAUUGUAGGUAUUUUAAAAUCAAUAACAAUAAUGAUUCACAGUGACCUCAAUUAAAAAAAUGUCUUGCUCUUCCUGCCAAAAUUAAAAUCUUAUAUAUUUCAGGUUGCUCAUAAAGACUUUAACAACAUGGAAUAACCUAGCAAUAGUAACAGGUGGGAUUCCAAUUUUUAAAGUGCUACUAAUGCAAUAAUUUAUUUAAAGUUAUUCUUUGUACCUCACAAGGGCUCAAGGUUGUUUACAAGAAAGUACAGUAGAUUAGAAGGAAGAAGAUUUGGGUCAGCUUCCAUAUCAUUACUUAACUAGAUUCUUGACUUAUAGUAAAUCACUUAAUAUCCUUGAGCUGCUGUUUCCUUGUGUAGACCCCUACCUCAUUUAGCUCAUCUGUUAGGCUGGCUUCCUGCAACAGUGCCCAACACACUGCAAGCAUGCAGCUAAUAUUUGCCGGCUGACCUAACAACAUUGGUUGGACACAAAAAUAAAAUAUUGUCAUGCAUACCUCAGAUGUGUUGCCAGGAGGUUAAAAUGAUAAACUGGUAUAAUAUGUGGAAAAAUGGUUUGAGAACCAUAUAAGGCUAUAUAGACACACAGUGCGUUUCUUUUUACAAAUGGAGGAAGAUGUUCUUUUUCCAUUUUUCAAGUGUGGAUACAUUUUUGGUACCUCACUUGAAAUUAAGAUAAAUGUGUUAAUAACUGCAAGUUAUUUCAAAUCAUAAAGCUUAUAAAUCUACACAUAUGCUGAGAAAAAUAAGCCAUAUAUACCUAAAGCUUCAGAGAACUUCAAUGAUUGCUUAAGAUUAAUGGGACUUUAGAGAUAAAAUACCUGUGAUUUUCAAUAGUGCGGUAAACUCUUCAGACAAGUUCAGAUUAAAAAGUCAAAGGUGAACUCCCUAUAACAGUCAUAAUCUAUAAUAGCUUUACUGUAUUUUAAAGAGAGAUUUACAGGUACUAACACUUAAGGUCUAAGAUACAGUUAGGUGAAAAAUGCAAACUAGACAUUUAUAUUUUCAUAAAGAGAAACGAACCUGUAUUAUCUUCCGAUGUUCAAAUAUAUGUGUAUGAAUAUCUUGAAAAAGGCUGAGAAGGUACAUACCUAAUUAUAAUAAUGAUAACAGUGAGGAUGGGAGUGGAACUGCAGAAGGGCGGGAAGGGACUUUGGCUUUAUUGGUAUUGUCUGGAAUGUGAUAAUAUCAGGAAUGUGAAAAAACAGACAAGAGCAUAUGACCAAGUCACAGAAUCUCUGGAGCCUUAUUUAAAUAUUGAAGAUGGAAGGUGUUCUUUCAUGGAGUAGGUGAAAUAGUUUUCCUACAGAGCAGAAAGGCUCAGUGGCUGACUGCAAACCGAUACCUAACAUUAAAUAUGAUACAAAAAAAAAAAACAAAAAA
This 1726-nucleotide long non-coding RNA is filed under the name Canis lupus familiaris (dog). RNAcentral describes it as "lncRNA (ENSCAFG00000055193.1)". Lineage: Eukaryota; Metazoa; Chordata; Mammalia; Carnivora; Canidae. The record is from RNAcentral.